GGUAAUGUGGCUUAGUGGUAGAGUGCUUGCCUAGCAUGCAUGAAGCCCUGGGUUCGAUUCCUCAGUACCA
RNAcentral lists this transfer RNA (70 nucleotides) under Dipodomys ordii (Ord's kangaroo rat). It matches the Rfam family "tRNA". From Rfam's summary of the family: Transfer RNA (tRNA) molecules are approximately 80 nucleotides in length. Their secondary structure includes four short double-helical elements and three loops (D, anti-codon, and T loops). The record is from Rfam by way of RNAcentral. Lineage: Eukaryota; Metazoa; Chordata; Mammalia; Rodentia; Heteromyidae.